GAUAGAUCCUAAGUGAAAUUAGAUAUAAAAGAGAAAUGAAUUGAAUUUACUGGACAACAUUCUUCAGAUCUGCUGGGACAUAUUUUCAUUUUCUGUGAGUACUGCAAUGGAUUGGGACAAGUGAGCAUCUCAACAUCUUUUGUGAAAAAGGAGAACGUGGAUGUCACUGGCUUUCACUUCACGUUUUAGGUCAGCGCUGCUUUUGGGGUGAAAGAAGACCAUCAGCAAACCUCAGCCUUGCGGCCGGGACUCCCCCGUCUUCUGUCGGAGUCCGCCGGUCCGCAGCCUGCGGCAGGGAGGCCCGGGCACCCGCAGGUGGCGCCCCACGUCCGUGUUUGCGCCCUCAGCCGCGCUCCAGGCGCAGCUGGGAAACCCAGCGCGUCUCCCCGGGUCCUUUGAGCGAGCGCGGACACCGCAAUUUAAUAAAUAAGCGCAAGCGCCAGCCGCUCCACCAGUCCGAGGUCCAGAGGAGCAGACACACAGACCCGGGCCGGAGGCCCCUCUUCUAGCCCUGCGGGAACCGGACAGUUCCCCAACUGGGGACUCUGGAACCACAGCUCCUAAAUCAUCAAAUUCUCAAGCUUUUUUUUUUCCUCUCUUC
This 601-nucleotide long non-coding RNA is filed under the name Pan troglodytes (chimpanzee). Its description in RNAcentral is "long non-coding RNA NONPTRT007833". Lineage: Eukaryota; Metazoa; Chordata; Mammalia; Primates; Hominidae. The record is from RNAcentral.